This 439-nucleotide ribosomal RNA is filed under the name uncultured bacterium. RNAcentral describes it as "partial 16S ribosomal RNA". It matches the Rfam family "Bacterial small subunit ribosomal RNA", at positions 339 to 795 of the family's 1533-position model. The record is from RNAcentral.
CUACGGGUUGCUCCAGUGGGGAAUAUUACACAAUGGAGGAAACUCUGAUGCAGCAACGCCGCGUAGAGGAUGACACUUUUCGGAGCGUAAACUCCUUUUAUAUAGGAAGAAGAUGACGGUACUAUAUGAAUAAGCGCCGGCUAACUCCGUGCCAGCAGCCGCGGUAAUACGGAGGGCGCAAGCGUUACUCGGAAUCACUGGGCGUAAAGAGCGUGUAGGCGGAUUAAAAAGUCAGAAGUGAAAUCCUAUAGCUUAACUAUAGAACUGCUUCUGAAACUCUUAAUCUAGAAUAUGGGAGAGGUAGAUGGAAUUUCUGGUGUAGGGGUAAAAUCCGUAGAGAUCAGAAGGAAUACCGAUUGCGAAGGCGAUCUACUAGAACAUUAUUGACGCUGAGACGCGAAAGCGUGGGGAGCAAACAGGAUUAGAUACCCUCGUAGUC